AUAUGUGUAUUAAAAUGGUCAAAUGCGGAAGCGUAAUAAAAAAUUUUGAUUAACAUCCCUUACACUAAAACCAAAAACGUGCUCAAAGUAUAAAAGAACAAACUAACUAAAAGAGAAACUCGAAAAUAAAAGCUAUAAAUAUAACUACGGAGUCUUCAGGCGUCCCCUUCGCCGUCUUCCUGCGGAACGGGCUCGGGAAC
RNAcentral lists this long non-coding RNA (200 nucleotides) under Carica papaya (papaya). RNAcentral's name for it is "long non-coding RNA (CPAP_LNC007711)". The record is from RNAcentral. Lineage: Eukaryota; Viridiplantae; Streptophyta; Magnoliopsida; Brassicales; Caricaceae.